CAAAAUGGGCUCGACCCGGAAGAACCCGACCGGCACUCAGAUUCCAAUUUGGAUAGCACCAAAACCUUGAUCUGUGCCCUCAAUUUUCUCUCCCGGAAUUUGCCCUUGCCCCAACAUGUCUACGACGCCGUUUCCUCUAUUUACCUUUGUGCCGCCGACGAUGGAGGCGGUGAUGGCGUUUUGGUCGAUGACGUCAUCGAAAGGGCUGAGGUUGGAGUUGAAUCCUCCGUGGAAGGUCUCCAGAAGGAUGAGAUUACUACUCCACGGAGAAUGGUGAGUUGUUUUAUUUUAUUUUAUGUUGUUAGUAGAUUUAGAAGUGUUUUUAGUUUGUUUGAUUUUAUUUUCAUGUAAACUUAAUAUAGAGAAAUCAAGGUUUCAGCUUCAAUUUUCUUAUUCUUUCUUGAUCCUUUUUUUUUUUUUUUGGGUUCUUGAAUUUGGCAGUUGGUUUUGUAAUCGAGUCUAUUUGGUUCUAAUUAUAUAUUGUGAGAGAGAGAUUUUAGCUUUGAGCUGCUUCCUUCUUUCUUUUUGAAGUUCUGAGUUUUGUUAUUAGGUUUAGUAAUUGAAGCAAUUUGUUGGGAGUAAAGUGUUCCGGAAUCUUUGUUUCUUUCUGAUUUUGGACUAUCAUGGGUUUAGGAGUAUAUCUAAUUCAUUCCUUUGAAAUUGUGAUUAUCGAUGUAUUUGUUUUGAUCUAAUGCUUUGGGAGUGUGAGAUAUUUCUCAGUUAUGUGCAUUAAUGCUAUGGAUGAUUGAGAUCUGGAUAUUCUGCUCGAAAUGGUAUAAGCAGCAUAUACGAGUAGAAACGUUGACUAAGCUCCUCAUUUUAAGAAACUUGACCAGUGAGAUUGAUUUUCUGUUAAAGAAAAAAAAAGAACAAAUAUUCUCUUAAGUUAAUUGCGGCGGCAAAGAGAAAAGUGGGAUUGGGACAAAUUGAAAGUUUUUAACUUUUUCUAGAUUUUGUUUCUUUUUAUAUUCAAAUUUGUUUUGUGGUUGGUUUUCAAUUCAUUAUUGUGAGAGUUCGUUGGUGUUACACGAACAAAAAUAUCUAGAUGUACUACGUGUACAUUGGUUAUUGAUUGAACUUGAUUUGUAAUAAACAGCCGUAUUUGAUAACCCGACAUUCUCUAACAUUGAGAUCUAGCUGUAUCUAUCCAAUAGUGGUUGGGUAGGGCCGACUCUUAAAAGGAUUGACCACUGAGUAGCUGUUGAAAGAUUUUACCUCGUAUACUCAGAACUGAAUUUCUUUGGAGACUCCAGAAUAUGCUAAAAAGUCAAAUACACGGAAAGUCCCAACUACGAGGAUUAUUUCACUCCUAAGUUCAAGCUUGGUUUGUGCAAGAAUAGGUUUAGUGCUGAAAGCAAGUGGACAAAUAGGUUGUUUUCGACGAAUCCAUUGCUUGAGAAUCAAUUGAUUGCAUUGCUCUUGCGCUAGAGCAACAUAAGGAAAUUUUGUCCAUUCCUGCUUUCAGGAAACUGUCUGAACCAGAUCAAUAGAAUAUCACGCAUGCACAAUUACUAUGCCUCAAGUUCUAGUAAAUUUAAAUUUGUGAUUUUUAACUUACAGUUUUUACACUGAAAUUCGAUGAUUUUUGCUUUGUAAUCCUUAAAUUUGUAUAAAUGUUUCUAUUUCAUUUUCCAGGAAUAAAGACAUAGUUUUAUUAAUUUUGGCUCUUAAAUGUUUGAAUUGAUUUUUGGAUUCUGUAUUUCCCCGGAUAACAAGAAACAUUUUUAUCAUUUGAAUAUUUCAGUUUGAUGUAAUGGCUUUGUUCCCUAUAUGCCCUUUUUAUACUUGCAUCUGGGUAUUAAUAUUUAUAACAGCGGUGCUCUGGGAAGUGAGAAUUUUUUUCUUAGUUCCAUUUGCACAUAAACUAAAGAAUCUCAUGUCUAAGUGAGUGCUGAGAAGAGGGAGUUAUGGACCAAGGCUAACGUGGCCUGUUGUAGUUGUUAAGUAUAUAGUAGUAGCCCCCCAAUGGAAUGAAACAAACAGAAUGGAACAAAAUGAUUCAUGUACCCGAGACCAAGGCUAACGUGGCUUGUUGUAGUUUCUAAGUAUCUAGUAGUGGCACAAGAGGAAUGAAACAAAUAGAGUGGAACAAAAGGAUUCAUGUUCCAGAUUCCAUAUUUAUUGUUCAUAAGGCUCAACUUGUUGUUUGUCAUUGUUGUGUUCGGACAAAUUUUGACCAAAGAAUAAUUCAGACGUCAGGAAUAAGUUGUACAAGUAUUUAUCCAUAUCGAGAAUUGAUUGUGUAUAUCACAUGAGAGAGGGAGAUGUAAGUAAAAUUACCAUCUUGACCCGUAGCCAUAUAUAUGUAAUGAAACUUUUCUUUCCAAUCCUUCUAAGUAGUAUCUCUGCACAACUUUUAUUAAGUAAUUUAUCAUCUGUGUUGCUAUGUGGCCCUCUUGUACUUUUCUCUGUUUGGACCAUAUCAGUGGUUAAACCAUAUUUCUCAAAUAUAUUUUUUCUUUUUUAAUUAUCUCAUUGUUCUUAAUAUUGGGUUGCCCUAUUUCCUUGCAUUUACCAUCUAGUCUAUAAUUAUUUACAAUACAGAAAGUAAUUUGGUUUUGUAAUAUUAUUCUAAACUCCAUUUUUCUUUUCCUUACUGGAUUUCCACUUUUGCUUCAUAUCAAAAUUGGAUUUGUAACAACAAUGUGAUACAGGAUGGUUCUGGUGGUUCAAGUUACAAUGAUUUAAUGUUGGACUUCGAGGAUGCCGUGUUAAAGCAACAAUCUUGCAUGUCUGGUUCUAGAUUAAACGAGUUAAAGGAAAACCGCUUUCAAAGCCAAAUCCAGCACCGGUUAGCCGAACUUGAAGGUAGCUAUUUUCAUGAGUAAUUCUAUCCUAGACAUUGUUUUGCAAAUAAAUUAAUUCUGCUGCAUGACUUAAGGCCCAAUUUGUAUGGUUGUGCAGUUUCUCAUGAUAUUGAAGUCCUGAACCUCUCUAUCUUAUAUUGCACAUUGUGGAAAAAUUUCCUAAAAGCACUCAUCAGAGCAAUGUUGUUUGACCUUGUAAUUUGUUUUGCUCAAUUUCUUUUUGUUAUUUACCACCGCCUUGCGUGUAUUCUUAAUCUUCCUUUAGCUUUUCAAAGGUCUUUCGUAUGGAUAUUUUUCCAUUUUUUGGUGGUAAAUUUAUCUUCGUAUGCAGUGUAUUUUGACUUAAAUCGCCUAAUAUAAUUGUGUAUAUCCAAACCCUCGUUACUUCAUUCUUUUUUUGUUUCGUAUUCCCUUCUUUUCCUAAAAAAGAUAUCCUCGGCUACUUUGAACAAUAAGAGUUUUACCUUUCAAUGACAGUACGAUUUUAGACUUGUUUUCACAUUUUAUACAAUCAUUUGAUCAUCAUUAUUUUAAUGAUAAUCACUUGAUUUACUCUAUCCUCUCCCUGUUUUUGUGUUGAAAACCAGGAUGAUUGGAAAAUGAACUUCCAAUAUGGUUCUUGUUUUUAGGAGUACAGCAGCGACAACAAGCUAGGCCUUAUAUCGAACAAUUAUUGACUUGAAAAUCUGUCUUGUUUUCUGUUUAUACCUUCAAGCCCCUCCUGGAUGGUUGAAAAACAAGUCACUCAUAUGGUUUUACCGUAAUUUUUUUAUUGAAAGACACAUUUAAAGUGAGAAUUUGUUUGUUGUUGUCUAUCCUGUAGCUGAUGGUGGGUAUAUUGGGAUGCUGACUUGGGUAGGGAUGCAAGCAUGAUCACAGUUAUUUAUAUACAUAUGUAUAUACCCUAUUCAGUUCCAUAAAUGCUGUUCUUCUGCAAUAGACAAUUAUUAUCCUAAAAUAGCAUACUAUACUUCAAGGAUGUGCCUAAUAACUGUUUUGAUGCAUCUCUUUAACUUAUUUUGGAGUUAUGCCAUACUUCUUUGUGAAUGAUUUUUCGUGCUUUCAUUUUGAAACAGGAUUGCCAACAAGCAGAGGUGAGGACCUCCAGUCUAGGUGCUUGGUUGAACUCUACGGGCUUAAGGUAGCGUUUAAUUGUUUACUGUGCAUGAAUUUAUAUUAAUUGUGACUAGGUCCACCAUAAUCAUUAAAUUUAAAUGAAAUGGAGAAGGUGGAUGUAUUUCGUGACAAUAAACCCCUGUUUGAGACCCAUUUUUGUGGGAAAAUGUGUUUUGGAAUAGGGUUUUUUUUUUUUUUUUUUUUUUUUUUUUUUUUUUUUUUUUAGAAACGGAUUUCAGAAUUAGUGGAUCAUAUACUUAAGUAUUCAUUCCAAUGCAAUGCAUGCUAUCAAUUUAGCUCCGGUUUGAUGGUCAUUAUUUUGAGAAAAUGAUGUUUUGAUUUUUUUUUUUUUUUUUUUUUGGGAAUAUGUGGUUAAAAAAUAAUGAAAAUUUUUGUUUUUACGUGUAAAAUUAUUUUAUGGGAGAAUGCAUGGUUGAAAAUGAAUUUUGAAAAAGCGGGUUUUGAAAAAAAUGGGGGUCAAACAGUGGCUAAUUGCUGUCCUGAAAAUCUGUCUACCAUGAGCAAAGUCUUGCGAGUAGAACUCCAUUUGUAACAUAGCAUUAUCUUUUUCGAGUAAAGUAGAUGUUUGUGGUUGUUCUUUUUUGGCCCAAAAAUAUUAUCAUGCUUAUGAUUAUUUUUUAUUUAUUAUUAUUAUUAUUAUUAUUUUUUCCGAUUAAUUUGCAACUCGGACCUCUAAUAGAAAACCAGAUGCUGUGAAACUAAUGCAACACCGAUUUGUCAUUGCUAAUUGGUUCCUGUAUGCAUACAAGUUGAAGGGGAAAAUCUGUUUGCAGGCUGACUGCAUCUCAUUUAAUCCAUCACAACUUGUUGAGAAGGAGUGUAUCAUUUCUUGUUCCAUGAAACAUUAACACACAGAAGCACCUUUUUAAUGCCGCCCUCUUCACCUAUAUGUCAGAUAUUAGUGGUUUAUAUUGCUGUUUAUCAUAAUUGAAUGACUUUUUUUCCCUAUCAGUUAGCUGAGCUACAGAGCAAAGUGCGGUCAGAAGUGAUUUCUGAAUAUUGGCUUCGUCUGCAUUGUGCAAAUCCAGAUAAGCAGUUGUUUGAUUGGGGAAUGAUGCGAUUGCGCCGUCCUUUAUAUGGUAUUGGAGAUGCUUUCGCUAUGGAAGCUGAUGAUGCCCUGAAGAAAAAACGAGAUGCUGAGGUGAGUAGGUUUUCUGCUAGCGACUGUUCAUUGGUUGGCAGAUAUGAAUGAAUCCUGCAACUUUCUCUUUCUAGACUCAUAGCUGAGAAAUGACAUGUAUUUAACUGCUGAGGGGAAACAAUAUUAAUUGAACUGCAAAUAUCUUCAAUAUAUCUGUUGCAGAGGUUGUCAAGAUUAGAGGAAGAAGAGAGGAACCGUGUAGAAACUAGUAAAAGGAAAUUCUUUGCUGACUUACUCAAUGCUGUACGGGAACUCCAAUUGCAAGUACAGGCUGCCCAAAAACGCCGGAAACAAAGAAGUGACGGUGUCCAGGUAUGCUGCCUUACUUUCUACUAUUUAUUUUCCCAUCAUUUUCUUUAAACUAACAUCUUCCCGUAGGGUAUAUAAAUGUAAUAUUGAAGCAGAUAUUGCACAAACAAAGAAAAUAUUGGAGGCUAAAAAAUGUUAUGCCAAUGGUUGAUCCUCUUGUUUUGUUUAAUGUGUAUGGUUUCUGGUCAUUAGUGUUAAGUGGUUAAGCCUAUUACUCAUUAUUACUCCAAAUAAAUGGCAUGUUAUUUGAAUGAGUUUUUAUUUUUAAGAGGUUAAGCCACAUUUUGUGUUAUACUGUCAGUGGAGUUAUCCACUUUGGUCUCGUAAUUCUUGAGUUCUACCUUGCAUCUGAUCAAUUAGAGAAACUACUGAACCUUGCAGUUUCCAUCCAUGUCACACAUGGGUCCUUGGUGCCCUUGGCUUAUUGUAACCCUGUGAUUUUUUUAUGUAUGAUAGAUCAUAGAAGAUUAGAAGUUACAUUCUAGGAUAAGAUUCAAUUUAUUCUUACUUUUACAGGCUUGGCAUGGAAGGCAAAGGCAGCGAGCUACGCGGGCUGAGAAAUUGAGGUUCCAAGCUCUAAAAGCUGAUGAUCAAGAAGCUUACAUGAAAAUGGUUGAAGAGAGCAAAAAUGAAAGAUUGACAAUGCUUCUAGGAAAAACGAAUGAGCUCCUAGGUCGAUUGGGUGCUGCUGUCCAACGUCAAAAAGAUGCUGAACAUGACGGCAUUGAAGCCCUCCAAAAUUCAGACGCUGACUUGCUUGAGUUAUCUGGUUCAAGGACUGACACGCCAGGGCAGUCACCUCCAGAGGAAGAUGAAGAUGUUGAUAAUGAUUCUGAUCGUCAAGUGAAGACAGGUGAUUUACUUGAAGGCCAGCGAAAGUACAAUUCUGCUGUACAUUCUAUUGAGGAGAAGGUAUUCUAUUACUAUCUUCAUAAUUUUAUUGAAAUUUAUGAGUUUUGGCUUACUGCUUUUGCAUCAAUUUGCUAAUGUCCUGAAAUGAAUGGAUUAUUGUGCAUGCAAAUGCGCAGAGGGAGGGACGGAGGGAGGGAAUUAUUGUUUGUAUAGCAAAAAAGGAAAUUGAAAGAAAGUAUUUUUAAUUUCCUUGUGUUGGUUGAGUACAAGUAUCAUGAGAAGUACUUUGUUGCAACAAAAUAUGUCCUGCCUUUUCUGGCUCCUUAUGAACACUUUCCUAUAUAAUUUUCAUUUCAUUCAAAUGGAGCCAAAGUGCAGGGGAAAAUUUACAAACUCUCUUGUUAUCCCUCUAUACCAACUGCAAUGGUAUUUUCUGGAUCUUAAGCAUCAUAACAUGUCUUGGAUGGCCAAAAGUUUGGCCGCAUCUUUUUUUUGCUAGUUCAUGAUAUUGUGAAAAUAUUGUGUAAUUGGAUAUACUAUUCUAGUUCAUAUAGUACUUAUUUUAUUUAUAUCUGAUCGAACCUUACAAGAAUCUUUGUAGGUGACUGAGCAACCAGCUAUGCUUCAAGGUGGUGAGUUAAGACCAUAUCAGUUGGAGGGGCUUCAAUGGAUGUUGUCUUUGUUCAAUAACAAUUUAAAUGGAAUUUUAGCUGAUGAAAUGGGGUUGGGGAAGACAAUUCAGACAAUAUCUCUGAUUGCUUAUCUCAUCGAAAACAAAGGUGUUACUGGGCCCCACUUGAUUGUGGCCCCAAAGGCUGUCCUACCAAAUUGGAUGAAUGAAUUUUCAACUUGGGCUCCUAGGUAUGCAUUUUCCCACCAUCCUCCCUGCCCCCGACCCCUUUACGACUAGUUUCUGUAUAAAUGCACAAGUGCUCAGAGACUCUGCUUUCAGUGUUGCUGCAGUUCUUUAUGAUGGGCGACUGGAUGAAAGAAAGGCAAUGAGAGAAGAGUAUUCAGGAGAGGGAAAGUUCAAUGUUUUGAUCACCCAUUAUGAUCUGAUUAUUAGAGACAAAGCAUUCUUGAAGAAAAUUCACUGGUACUACCUGAUUGUUGACGAAGGACAUCGACUUAAAAAUUAUGACUGUGUUCUUGCACGGACUCUUGUCUCUGGGUAUGUUGCAUCUCCAUCUCUUGAUUGAAAUUGCAGCAACCACCUUAUUCUCAAGCCUCAUCCUUUAAACGAUUGUGCUAGAUCUUUUGGAUGGCUUCUGCUAUUUGUUUUCCAAUUAUCUUGUGACCGAUGGUGAAUGCACCCACAAGUAUCAUAAGAGUUUACUUUUGCAAGUUAUGCCUAUUGAGUAUGUUUGCCUAAUCAAAGAGAUUGUGGAUUUUUUUCCUUGCUGAAUUAUUUUAAAGACAAUUUUUUGUUUUUUUAAUAUCAAAGAUGUAACCUAUUUAAUUUGACCCUGACCCAAUUAUUCAAUAUCCUUCAAUUGCAUAGCAGCAUCAAAUAUCAUGAUUAAUUUCAAAAGGAAAUGAUUUUCUAAAUGAUUCUUCAUCUGGACAGUUAUCGAAUUCGGCGGAGACUACUGUUGACUGGUACUCCCAUACAGAAUAGCUUGCAGGAAUUAUGGUCCCUGCUUAAUUUUCUCCUUCCUACUAUAUUUAAUUCAGUUGAAAACUUUGAGGAGUGGUUUAAUGCACCCUUUGCGGACAAAUGUGAUGUCAGUUUGACGGAUGAAGAACAACUAUUAGUCAUUCGGCGAUUGCACCAUGUAGGUAUUGGUUUUUUGGUGUGUUGUCUGUUAUACUAUUUGACUUUCUAAUGUGAACGUUUUUCUUCCUUUCCCUUUCUUUCUAAUAUACCCCCAGGUCAUAAGGCCAUUCAUAUUGAGGAGGAAGAAAGAUGAGGUGGAGAAGUACCUUCCAAUUAAACGCCAAGUCAUACUUAAAUGUGACAUGUCUGCCUGGCAGAAACUAUAUUAUCAGCAAGUGACAGAUGUGGGAAGGGUUGGAUUGGCUAGUGGUAAGUAGUUUUCAAUUGGCUGCUGCCUCUCUCUUUGUCUCUCACUGUGGUAUUAUUUUAUCUCCCACAAUGGCUUGUCUCGGGAUUGUUUUACUGUUAUAACUUUUUGUCUUGAUGCAAUAUCAUGUCCAUCAUCAUAACUGUCUUGCAUCCGUUAUACUUUCUCCCUACUUCUAUCACACCCUGUCCAGUCAUCGUUGUUAUCAGUUUAAUAUAUUUUGUUUUGUUUAUAUAAAUGAGGCAGGAUUUAUUUACAAUACCUGUAAGUCUAAUGAUUAUUAAUAUUACUCAUAUAGUACAAGUGUUUUUCAAGACCUAGCAUUGAUUUCACAAUGCAGCCUGUGUCCAUCAGAGUACAAAAUGUAAUUCUUCUUAACAGUGUUAAAAAUGAUGUCUUCCAUACUAUAUUGAAAUACUUGACCAAAGGGUCAUCUGUUGUUCCAUUGGCAAGUAUAAUCAUUAUAAAAAUAAAAGUCUGGUUAGCAGUAAAUACUUGUAUUCCUGGAAAAUAAAAAGAGUAUUGGUAGACUUGUGCUUUCUUAUAAUUUUAAAUAAAAAUGUUCUUAUAAUUUUAAAUAAAAAUGAAUAUAUGUGUUAAUCAGUCCGCCAUACAUUGUUAUGGACCAAGAAAAUGCUGCGUGUUAUUUAUUGGCUUCAUUUCUUGUAAGAAACAAAGGUGCUCCAAUAGUCCGUCUCAUUACUAACACAAACUGUAAUGUCAAUCUACACUCACACAAUGUUCUCUCAAUUUUUAUGUUUACCAAUCUACGCUGCUAUCUGAUGCAUGUGUUUGUUUUUUUCUGUUAUGUCCAUUCGAUUCUCUUGGUUUUCUCACCUUCCACGCUUUCCCAUAAAAGGAGGAUAAGAAAAAAUGUUGUUUUUGAACCUUUUUCUUUCCUUUUUUGGUUAGAUGAGUUUGCAAUAGCAUGAACUAUACAAUCUGUCCACCUAUGCUGGGACACAGCACUUUCCUCUCUGGGGGCUAUUACCUUUUUCUUAUAGGUGAAUUUCAUUGCUGAUGGUGUGAAUUUGCAGGAACUGGGAAGUCCAAAAGCCUACAGAACCUGACAAUGCAGCUCCGCAAAUGUUGUAACCACCCAUACUUAUUUUUGGGUGAUUAUAAUAUGCUGCGUAAAGAGGAGAUUUUCAGAUCAUCUGGAAAGUUUGAGCUUCUUGAUCGCUUACUACCCAAGCUUCGUAAAGCUGGGCAUAGAGUCCUCCUUUUCUCUCAAAUGACGCGGCUCAUGACCAUUCUUGGAUAUUAUCUGGAAUUACAUGGUUACAAGUUUCUUAGACUUGAUGGCUCAACAAAAACUGAAGACAGAGGGGAAUUGCUAAAAAAAUUUAAUGCUCCAGACUCUCCUUACUUCAUAUUUCUUCUAAGCACACGUGCUGGAGGACUUGGUCUGAAUUUGCAGACUGCAGAUACCGUGAUAAUUUUUGACAGCGACUGGAAUCCUCAGAUGGACCAACAGGCUGAGGAUAGAGCGCAUCGCAUUGGUCAGAAGAAGGAGGUGGCAGUUUUUGUGCUGGUCAGUGUUGGAUCAAUUGAAGAGGUUAUCUUAGAACGAGCCAAGCAGAAAAUGGGCAUUGAUGCCAAGGUCAUCCAGGCAGGAUUGUUCAAUACAACUUCCACAGGUUCGUCACUUGUGAAGAUCUGUACUCUCAUUUUACCUCCUAUUGAGAAUGGAAAAUUGGUUUAAAGAUAUGAAACGAGUGGAGCUGGUUGAAUAGAGAUUGGUCUAGAAUUGACAAAUGGGUCUAUCAUAUUUUGCAGAUCAUCUCCAUCACGAAGAUUUAAGGGAAACUUGCACCAUUGUUUUUUACCUAUUCUCCCCCAACCUUUAAAAAGGGGGAAGUUGGUCACCAAACUUUCUGUACAUUUUGUACCAUUAGUCCUUAAUGACGAAAACUGUCCAAAUCUUCAUUAAAUUGUUGGUUGACCCUCAUUGGAAACAUACCUUACUUCAAAUUUCUGCCCACCAGCCCAAGUUGGGAAGUUAAACCUAGCUUCAUGGAGUUGGACAUGUGGUUCACAUGACGAUUAAACAGAUAUUUGAAGGUUUCUGUCAUUAGGGACUGAUUGUGCAAUUAUAAUUACAGGCGAGGUCCCAAUGGUGCAAUUUUACCCUGAGAUAAAAUGAUGCGGUUGACAUAUCUACUUGAUUUUUGGACCAUUAAAUUGUUGUAUGCCAAUGAUGUGGAUGAUAAUUGUCUCGGGUGUAAUGUACUACUCAAUUUUCCAUUUAGGAGGUUACUUUAACAAAAAUUUCACACUUUCUUAUUGUUUAUUCCAAUUUGGAUAGCACCAAAACCUUGAUCUGUGCCCUCAAUUUUCUCUCCCGGAAUUUGCCCUUGCCCCAACAUGUCUACGACGCCGUUUCCUCUAUUUACCUUUGUGCCGCCGACGAUGGAAGCGGUGAUGGCGUUUUGGUCGAUGACGUCAUCGAAAGGGCUG
Molecule: long non-coding RNA, 10730 nt
Filed under: Olea europaea (common olive)
Lineage: Eukaryota; Viridiplantae; Streptophyta; Magnoliopsida; Lamiales; Oleaceae
Description: long non-coding RNA (OEUR_LNC002349)
Source: RNAcentral